Molecule: ribosomal RNA, 515 nt
Filed under: Acinetobacter sp. 57 DOGU
Lineage: Bacteria; Pseudomonadati; Pseudomonadota; Gammaproteobacteria; Moraxellales; Moraxellaceae
Description: bacterial SSU rRNA
Rfam family: Bacterial small subunit ribosomal RNA
Source: RNAcentral
AGAGGAAUGAAUCCCCGUAGUCCCUGCGGUAAACGAUGUCUACUUGCCGUUGCUCUUGAGGCUUUAGUUGCGCAGCUAACGUGGUAAGUAGACCGCCNGGGGAGUUCGGUCGCAAGACAAAAACUCAAAUAAAUAGUCGGGGCCCAACACAAGCAUUGGAGCUUGUGAAUUAAUUCGAUGCAACGCGAAGAACCUUACCUCGCCCUAACAUGUAAGAGCUUUCCAGAGAUGGAUUGGUCCCUUCGGGAACUUACAUACAGGUUAUACAUGGCAGUCGUCAGCUCGUGUCGUGAGACGUUGGGUUAAGUCCCGCAACNGGCGCAACCAUUUUCCUUGUUUGCCAGCGAGUAAGGUCGGGAACUAUAAGGACAGCCAGAGACAAACUGGAGGAAGGAAAAGCGACCUCAAGUCAGCAUAGCCCUUACGGCCACUGCCACACACGGGCUACAAUGGUCGGUACAAAGGGUUGCGACCUAGCGAUAGGAUGCUAAUUUCAAAAAGCCGAUCGUAGUCCG